Non-coding RNA from Arachis ipaensis, 756 nucleotides. Lineage: Eukaryota; Viridiplantae; Streptophyta; Magnoliopsida; Fabales; Fabaceae. The record is from RefSeq and is a predicted model, not a curated record.
UUCAAUACCACUAGUUUCUUAUUCUUUUCACCUACAUUUAUUUUCCACCUCUUCAGAUGAGUAAACAGAACAUAAAAUUUCAAAUUUUAAUUUUCAAUUGAAAAAAACAAGUAUAUUUAUAACCUCCUACUUCCAGUCUUCACUAUAUUCUUUUGGUUGCUACUCCCCUUCUUUAUUUUUUUUAAUUCGUUAUCAUGGUCGCAGUAGUGACGGUGGAGGACGUAAUUGCCGUGGCGAUUGCUACAGCUGCGGUUGGAAUGGGUCACAUGGCCUGGAAUUAUAACAAAGGAGGAAGUGAUGGCGUUUGCCUCAGCUGUGGUGAGGAUGAGCCAUAUGGUUAGGGGUUGCAACUAAGGAGGAAGCAGCAGAUCUGCUACAACUAUGGGAAUUCUGGACAUUUUGUCACAUGCCUAUACCUUAUUUCAGAUACAGGACAUGAGGCUCCUCGCUGAGGCAUGCUGGAAGCUUUUGAUGUUGCGAAGACCUUUAUCUUUUGGGCUUUAUUUUGGUUAUCUGUAUUUGCUUAGAUACUUAUUAUCUCCACCUAUUAUAUAUAUGAUGUAUUAAUUCCUCUUAGAGGUGAUUUUGGAGACUCAGGUUUUGUAACUCUAUAUUUUGGGUUUUUCUAUAUAUCUAUAUAUGUAUAACUAUGUGCUCGGACUGGUUUAUCUUCGUAAGUUGAGUCUUGAGUUUUGUUACAUGUGUUUUGGAACUCUUAGUAUAUAAAUUCGUUAGCUUGCUCUAUCUUGCUUACUU